AUUGAACGCUGGCGGCAUGCUUUACACAUGCAAGUCGAACGGCAGCGCGGGCUUCGGCCUGGCGGCGAGUGGCGAACGGGUGAGUAAUGCAUCGGAACGUGCCCAGUAGUGGGGGAUAGCCCGGCGAAAGCCGGAUUAAUACCGCAUACGACCUGAGGGUGAAAGCGGGGGACCGAAAGGCCUCGCGCUAUUGUAGCGGCCGAUGUCGGAUUAGCUAGUUGGUUGGGUAAAGGCUUACCAAGGCGACGAUCCGUAGCUGGUCUGAGAGGACGACCAGCCACACUGGGACUGAGACACGGCCCAGACUCCUACGGGAGGCAGCAGUGGGGAAUUUUGGACAAUGGGGGCAACCCUGAUCCAGCCAUGCCGCGUGCGGGAAGAAGGCCUUCGGGUUGUAAACCGCUUUUGUUCGGGAAGAAAUCCUCUGGGCUAAUACCCCGGGGGGAUGACGGUACCGGAAGAAUAAGCACCGGCUAACUACGUG
RNAcentral lists this ribosomal RNA (484 nucleotides) under uncultured bacterium. RNAcentral's name for it is "partial 16S ribosomal RNA". It matches the Rfam family "Bacterial small subunit ribosomal RNA", at positions 28 to 507 of the family's 1533-position model. The record is from RNAcentral.